AUGGAGCAUGCAAGAAAUGACCCGGAAAACCAGCCAAAUUAUUAUUUCAUUGCCAUAAUCUGCUAAAUGUUAGGAAAAAAGUUUACAUAUAGCUUUUCUGUAACAUUUUCUCUCACCAUCACCAAUUCCAUAAACAAAAAAAGGAAGGAAAAAAAUUGGAAGAAGAAACAUGAACAAGAAGAGAGAAAGAGGAAACAAACAAGAACAAGAAGAUAAAUAACAAAUGCCUGGCUUUCCCAUGUACGCCGCUGAAAACUUUUGGACUCCGAUCGAUCAAUAAUUCUUGGCCUUGAAAGCAUCGAGAUUAAUACUAUAUAGUCUUCCAAGCAAACCGUACGCCGACGUUGGAAGUGCCUCAGUCACCAGAACAGAGAAAAAACUUCAGAAACUCAGAAGGUUGCAAGAAAUUAAAUACAUGGACGAAACGCCAUUAUUAUUAGAUUAAUCUCUUGCAAGCAAGCAAUAACAUCAUAUUUCUUCCUCUUCUUCAUAACUUUUGGGCCUUCUUUGGCAACUCCUUCACAAAGCAAAGUUUGAAAAAGAAUGAAAAAAAAGGGGUAUCAAAUGGUCAAAAAAUCAGGAGUUUGUCUAGGACUUAACACAAAGAAAAUAUGAAUAUAAAAGGGUGAAUAAUAAGAGGGGUGGGAAGCUAGAUAGGAAAAGGAAGAAGGGUGUUCCCAAGAAGAUGACGAGCGUUUCCCGUUAAUGUUGUUUUCAAAGGUGAAUAUAUAUAUAUAUAAAAGAAAAACAAAUAAAUAUUUAGGCUUCAAAGAGUGGGCCAAAGAAAGAAGAGGCCUUUUUGUUUCACACGUUGGGGUGGUUCCUUU
RNAcentral lists this long non-coding RNA (827 nucleotides) under Theobroma cacao (cacao). Its description in RNAcentral is "long non-coding RNA (TCAC_LNC000201)". Lineage: Eukaryota; Viridiplantae; Streptophyta; Magnoliopsida; Malvales; Malvaceae. The record is from RNAcentral.